RNAcentral lists this ribosomal RNA (253 nucleotides) under uncultured bacterium. Its description in RNAcentral is "partial 16S ribosomal RNA". It matches the Rfam family "Bacterial small subunit ribosomal RNA", at positions 524 to 776 of the family's 1533-position model. The record is from RNAcentral.
UACAGAGGGUGCAAGCGUUGUUCGGAAUUAUUGGGCGUAAAGGGUGCGUAGGCGGUGCGGUAAGUCUGUAGUGAAAUCUCUGGGCUCAACUCAGAGUCUGCUAUAGAAACUGCCGUGCUUGAGUGUGGGAGAGGUGAGUGGAAUUCCUGGUGUAGCAGUGAAAUGCGUAGAUAUCAGGAGGAACACCGAUGGCGAAGGCAGGUCUCUGGGCUGACACUGACGCUCAUGCACGAAAGCGUGGGGAGCAAACAGG